RNAcentral lists this ribosomal RNA (253 nucleotides) under uncultured bacterium. Its description in RNAcentral is "partial 16S ribosomal RNA". It matches the Rfam family "Bacterial small subunit ribosomal RNA", at positions 524 to 776 of the family's 1533-position model. The record is from RNAcentral.
UACGUAGGGGGCAAGCGUUGUCCGGAAUCAUUGGGCGUAAAGAGCGUGUAGGCGGCCCGGUAAGUCCGCUGUGAAAGUCGGGGGCUCAACCCUCGAAUGCCGGUGGAUACUGUCGGGCUAGAGUGCGGAAGAGGCGAGUGGAAUUCCUGGUGUAGCGGUGAAAUGCGCAGAUAUCGGGAGGAACACCGGUGGCGAAGGCGGUUCUCUGGGCCUUACCUGACGCUGAGGAGCGAAAGCGUGGGGAGCGAACAGG